ACGCUCGACACCUACGGGAGCAGCAGUGGGGAAUAUUGCACAAUGGGGGAAACCCGUGAUGCAGCGACGCCGCGUGGAGGAAGAAGGUCUUCGGAUUGUAAACUCCUGUUGUUGGGAAAAGAGGAUGGUACCCAACAAGGAAGUGACGGCUAACUACGUACCAGCAGCCGCGGUAAUCUGAGCGGGCUGGCAAGGC
RNAcentral lists this ribosomal RNA (196 nucleotides) under uncultured bacterium. RNAcentral describes it as "partial 16S ribosomal RNA". It matches the Rfam family "Bacterial small subunit ribosomal RNA", at positions 328 to 539 of the family's 1533-position model. The record is from RNAcentral.